AGUGAACGCUGGCGGUAGGCCUAACACAUGCAAGUCGAACGGCAGCACAGUAAGAGCUUGCUCUUACGGGUGGCGAGUGGCGGACGGGUGAGGAAUACAUCGGAAUCUACUUUUUCGUGGGGGAUAACGUAGGGAAACUUACGCUAAUACCGCAUACGACCUACGGGUGAAAGCAGGGGAUCUUCGGACCUUGCGCGAUUGAAAGAGCCGAUGUCGGAUUAGCUAGUUGGCGGGGUAAAGGCCCACCAAGGCGACAAUCCGUAGCUGGUCUGAGAGGAUGAGCAGCCACACUGGAACUGAGACACGGUCCAGACUCCUACGGGAGGCAGCAGUGGGGAAUAUUGGACAAUGGGCGCAAGCCUGAUCCAGCCAUACCGCGUGGGUGAAGAAGGCCUUCGGGUUGUAAAGCCCUUUUGUUGGGAAAGAAAAGCAGCAGGUUAAUACCCCGCUGUUCUGACGGUACCCAAAGAAUAAGCACCGGCUAACUUCGUG
RNAcentral lists this ribosomal RNA (492 nucleotides) under uncultured bacterium. RNAcentral describes it as "partial 16S ribosomal RNA". It matches the Rfam family "Bacterial small subunit ribosomal RNA", at positions 29 to 507 of the family's 1533-position model. The record is from RNAcentral.